UACGGAGGGCGCAAGCGUUGUUCGGAAUCACUGGGCGUAAAGCGCGUGUAGGCGGCUUGGUAAGUCGGGUGUGAAAGCCCCGAGCUCAAUUCCGGAGCUGCAUUCGAAACUACCUCGCUCGAGUCCCGGAGAGGGUGGUGGAAUUCCCGGUGUAGAGGUGAAAUUCGUAGAUAUCGUGAGGAAGACCAGUGGCGAAGGCGGCCACCUGGACGGUGACUGACGCUGAGACGAGAAAGCGUGGGGAGCACACAGU
Molecule: ribosomal RNA, 253 nt
Filed under: uncultured bacterium
Lineage: Bacteria
Description: partial 16S ribosomal RNA
Rfam family: Bacterial small subunit ribosomal RNA
Source: RNAcentral